RNAcentral lists this ribosomal RNA (1356 nucleotides) under Mycobacterium avium. RNAcentral describes it as "bacterial SSU rRNA". It matches the Rfam family "Bacterial small subunit ribosomal RNA", at positions 87 to 1441 of the family's 1533-position model. The record is from RNAcentral. Lineage: Bacteria; Bacillati; Actinomycetota; Actinomycetes; Mycobacteriales; Mycobacteriaceae.
GUACUCGAGUGGCGAACGGGUGAGUAACACGUGGGCAUGCUGCCCUGCACUUCGGGAUAAGCCUGGGAAACUGGGUCUAAUACCGGAUAGGACCUCAAGACGCAUGUCUUCUGGUGGAAAGCUUUUGCGGUGUGGGAUGGGCCCGCGGCCUAUCAGCUUGUUGGUGGGGUGACGGCCUACCAAGGCGACGACGGGUAGCCGGCCUGAGAGGGUGUCCGGCCACACUGGGACUGAGAUACGGCCCAGACUCCUACGGGAGGCAGCAGUGGGGAAUAUUGCACAAUGGGCGCAAGCCUGAUGCAGCGACGCCGCGUGGGGGAUGACGGCCUUCGGGUUGUAAACCUCUUUCACCAUCGACGAAGGUCCGGGGUUUUUCUCGGAUUGACGGUAGGUGGAGAAGAAGCACCGGCCAACUACGUGCCAGCAGCCGCGGUAAUACGUAGGGUGCGAGCGUUGUCCGGAAUUACUGGGCGUAAAGAGCUCGUAGGUGGUUUGUCGCGUUGUUCGUGAAAUCUCACGGCUUAACUGUGAGCGUGCGGGCGAUACGGGCAGACUAGAGUACUGCAGGGGAGACUGGAAUUCCUGGUGUAGCGGUGGAAUGCGCAGAUAUCAGGAGGAACACCGGUGGCGAAGGCGGGUCUCUGGGCAGUAACUGACGCUGAGGAGCGAAAGCGUGGGGAGCGAACAGGAUUAGAUACCCUGGUAGUCCACGCCGUAAACGGUGGGUACUAGGUGUGGGUUUCCUUCCUUGGGAUCCGUGCCGUAGCUAACGCAUUAAGUACCCCGCCUGGGGAGUACGGCCGCAAGGCUAAAACUCAAAGGAAUUGACGGGGGCCCGCACAAGCGGCGGAGCAUGUGGAUUAAUUCGAUGCAACGCGAAGAACCUUACCUGGGUUUGACAUGCACAGGACGCGUCUAGAGAUAGGAGUUCCCUUGUGGCCUGUGUGCAGGUGGUGCAUGGCUGUCGUCAGCUCGUGUCGUGAGAUGUUGGGUUAAGUCCCGCAACGAGCGCAACCCUUGUCUCAUGUUGCCAGCGGGUAAUGCCGGGGACUCGUGAGAGACUGCCGGGGUCAACUCGGAGGAAGGUGGGGAUGACGUCAAGUCAUCAUGCCCCUUAUGUCCAGGGCUUCACACAUGCUACAAUGGCCGGUACAAAGGGCUGCGAUGCCGUAAGGUUAAGCGAAUCCUUUUAAAGCCGGUCUCAGUUCGGAUUGGGGUCUGCAACUCGACCCCAUGAAGUCGGAGUCGCUAGUAAUCGCAGAUCAGCAACGCUGCGGUGAAUACGUUCCCGGGCCUUGUACACACUACCCGUCACGUCAAGAAAGUAGGAAACACCCGAAGGAGAAGGCCUAACCC